Molecule: long non-coding RNA, 467 nt
Filed under: Ananas comosus (pineapple)
Lineage: Eukaryota; Viridiplantae; Streptophyta; Magnoliopsida; Poales; Bromeliaceae
Description: long non-coding RNA (ACOM_LNC019106)
Source: RNAcentral
UAACUAAUGUGCGACCUCCGUAUAGUCCUAUAUAUAAGAUAUUUAAUAGAGCUAGAACUCUUAAUUUAGUUUAAACAUUUUGGGUGGUGGCUAGAUUCAAGAGGUUAAAAGAGUUAAGCGUGUUAGGACGGGAAUAGUCCUAGGAUGGGUGAUCCCCUGAGAAGCUGGGGCGUCACAGUUGGUAUCAGAGUCAAUUAUUAGCCGAAAUUGUAAGAAGAGUUUCGACUAAGUCAGGGUCGGAAUGACAAGACUAGCGAGACGAAUCUCAUAAAUGGGAGAGAUUGUGAGACUCCAUAUAAUCCUAUAUAUAAAAGAUAAUAGGAAUAGAACUCUUAACCCGACUUAAACAUUUUGGGUGAUGGCUAAACCCAAGAAGUUAAAAGAGUUAAGUGUGUUAGGACGGGAGUAGUUCUAGAAUAAGUGACCCCCGGAGAAGUUGGAGCGUCACAUAACUCACACAAAUCUAA